CUACAAUGAUCGUGAGCGUGUGGAGAUAUUUAUAUCUGAUGCUGGUAUUCUUGCUGUCACUUACGGGCUCUACCGCCUUGCAGUCGCAAAGGGACUUGGUUGGGUUCUUUGUGUUUAUGGAGGGCCAUUACUUGUGGUGAAUGCAUUCCUUGUUCUGAUCACAUAUCUGCAGCAUACCCAUCCUUCAUUGCCGCAUUACGAUUCAUCUGAGUGGGACUGGUUAAAAGGGGCUCUAGCAACCGUCGAUAGAGAUUAUGGAAUCUUGAACAAGGUCUUCCAUAACAUAACAGACACUCAUGUAGCUCACCAUUUGUUCUCAAUGAUGCCACACUACCAUGCUAUGGAGGCAACGAAGGCAAUCAAACCAAUUUUGGGAGAUUACUAC
Molecule: long non-coding RNA, 385 nt
Filed under: Populus trichocarpa (black cottonwood)
Lineage: Eukaryota; Viridiplantae; Streptophyta; Magnoliopsida; Malpighiales; Salicaceae
Description: long non-coding RNA (PTRI_LNC001841)
Source: RNAcentral